CGAUCGGCCCUUUUCAGGGCCAACAAAUGUGUACUGAAAACUUAUUU
Aedes aegypti (yellow fever mosquito) is the source of this 47-nucleotide non-coding RNA. Lineage: Eukaryota; Metazoa; Arthropoda; Insecta; Diptera; Culicidae. The record is from Rfam.